This 3719-nucleotide long non-coding RNA is filed under the name Sarcophilus harrisii (Tasmanian devil). Its description in RNAcentral is "lncRNA (ENSSHAG00000026993.1)". Lineage: Eukaryota; Metazoa; Chordata; Mammalia; Dasyuromorphia; Dasyuridae. The record is from RNAcentral.
UUUCAUUCUUCUUUUGUUCUGUAUACUUUCCCAUCUGUGACAAAGACUCACAUCUGAAUCUUUCCUCACCUGCCAAUUGGUCAAUCUACAAUCACAAAUCUCCCAUAUUGCUCUCCUCCCUCUUGUAUUCUAUUUUGAAGGAAGUUUCCAACUUUAUUCUUUCCUCCUAUUUUCAGGCUCCUCAUAAUCCCUAUAACAAUUCACCAUUUUGUCCCUAAGGCAUCAAUGAGCUGGCAACGUCAAACCUCCUAUAUUUAUUUAAACACCCUGGAUUAAUUCCAUUUUCCUUACAUUUCUCUCUUCUUCACACACAAUACAACUCAGCAUCUUCAAUAUAACUCCUGUAGACUUCUACUAUACUUUUGAAACACCUAAGACCCCACAUUUAUGUAAGGAUACAGAAAAUUCCCAAGCAAAGGAUGUGGGAAUUAUUCUUUCACAUGGUUAGGUUUAGGUUUUUGCUUUGGUUUUAGAUUAAUUUUGGAAUGUUUCCCAGGGACAUGUGGGGAAAUACAACAGCCAGGCACAUGCUUUUGUAGAAAUGAAAAGUGUUGUUUUCCUGUACAUAUACUUCAAUCUCAACUUAGUUCUUGAUCCUUAGUUGACAUUUUUUGCUAAUAAGGCCUAUUUCACCACUUCUGCUUCUCUAAGAGACUUGAAUUACCUCCUUUUGCUACCAUUACUCACUUCUGGGGAUGUAAUAGGACUGACCUGGAAGAUAACUUAUGGAAAAGAAUUGUUCUAGUUCAGAGGUGUGAGAGGUGCAGAGUACAUGAAAGUCUGAUUGAUAGCAUUAAAAUGAUACAAUUUGGCUGCCAGAUUUCAUUUACCUUAAAGAUAUCCCUUGGUUACUCAUAAAAUUUAAAUCACCAGAAAGCUAGGUGAUACCUGAAAUCAGGAAGACUCAUCUUACUGAAUUCAAAUCUGGCCUCAGACACUAGCUAUGUGUAAAUCUAUUUGCUUCAGUUUCCUCUUCUUUAAAAUGACUGGAAAAGGAAAUAGCAAACCACUCCAGCAUCUUUGACAAGAAAACUCCAAAUGGGGUUACAAAGAGUCAUAUAGACCAAACAAGAAAGCUAUUUUCUUUCUUUUUAAAAAAAAAAUUCUUUUUUAUUGUGAAUUCAAUAGUCAUCAACAAUCAUAAACAUUUCAAGAAACAAUACAAAAGAGGCUUAUAAAUAAAAAUAAACCCAACUAUAAACUUCCUCAACAUUUUUUUAAAAAAGAAAUAUAUGUGUGUAUAUAUUAGUUUAACAAAGUGGUUUCAAAGUGUUGUUAUGCACUCUUUAGCACAUUUCUUCUAUGUACCUUGUAAAAUAUAUACACACGUAUGGUUUUGUGUGUGUGUGCGCACGUGUGCAUCUAUCACUACCCAUCAAUCCAACUCUCUCCUCACCUUUUAAUAGAAAAUUUUUCUUACAACAAACAUAAGAAGUCAAGAAAAACAAAUAUACCCAUUGGCCAUGUCUGAGAAUGCAUUUCUGAUAUCACCUCUUUCCAAGAGGCAUAAGACAGGCUUCAGCAACAGCAACUCUGGAGAGUGUUUGGGCUAGAGUUCUGAAGUCUUUUAGUUAUUUCUUAAAAAACUCUUUUUUCAGAGAAAAUCUAAGUGUUGAAAAUCAUAGGAUCAUAGCUCUAGUUUCCCUCCCUAAUUUUGUAAAUGAGAAAACUGAGAUUCAGAGAGAUUGAGACUUAUACAAGUCAGCCAUGUAGUAACUAGUAGAACUGUGAUUCAAACUCAACUAAGUCCAAUGCUUUUUCACAUGUUUGUAUUUAUGUAUGUACAUUAUACAUAUAUGUGUGUACAUACACACACAUAUUUUAAAUUUUCAUAUAUAUUUUACAUUUUCCCCUUCUCCCCUGCCCAUUGAAGAGGCAAAAAAAUCAUAUUAGACAUGUAUAAUCAUGUAAGACAAAUUUGCAUAUUUGCUAUGAUUUAUAUAAUAUAAUGUUUUUCCCACUGUAACAUAUUUCUCUCCCAGGCCAAUGCUCAGGAGGAAAAAAGUGUUUUUCAGGUUUAAAGAGUUGUCAGCUAUGUCCUUAAACAGUAAAUCUGAAUUAGGAUAUAAAUCUAGGUUUAAAAUUUUCUGAUAUUGUAAUUCUGAGCUUUAUUGGCAUACUUAUUACCAGUGGCCUUUCCAUCAGACAAAGUCUGAACUGUCCCAAGCAAACCUAGUUCUACGAUUCUGAUGAUAAAAGAAUCAUGAUAGAUCAGGCUCAUCUAACCUUAUUUCAAAAUGCCCUAAUUAUAAAAUUUAGAACCAAGGAAUUUUUAGACAGAUGCUAUUUAGAAUAGAUUAACUGUCCUAUUCCUUUCUAUAACCAGGCCCCAAUAUUCAGAGAUAAUAAGCAUUCUAGAUGAUAUGUUACAAAUUUGGGUAGAACAAAGUAUUUUCUUUCCUUCUGGGGGGAAAAAAUAGAGAAGAGCUAAUUGCAAAUAAAAUUAUCUUCCCGAUCUCCUCCUCUCUCCCUGGCCAGUGAAGGGAAAGCUCUAAAAUACAAAUUCAUUUGGCAUCUUAGAGCUACAUGAUAAAUUAAAAUAAUUAUAUAGUGUCAAAUGAUCUAAUUUUCAGAAAAAAAAAUCAUUCAAUUUAAACUUCCAUUUUUUUCAGUUGACUUUGCAAUUAACCUCGUUAUUGCUUCAAUCACUUAUACUUACACCAACUAAGGAACAGUUCAACCUUAAGAGAAGCUUUUAGAUCACAGUAAGUAUUUUGUUAAAAAACUGAACUUGAAAUUUUAUACCAUGUGCUAAAAAUUUUGUGCAACAAUUUCUUUUGCUAAUGGAAAUAACUGAAUAAUUUUUUAAAAGAUUCAAACAAAACUGUAAAUAAAACUUGCUUACUUAAAAUCUACUCUAAAAUGUCAUUAUGUAAUGUUUUUGAAGUUAAAAGAAUAUUUAAACAAAAUGAAGAAUGAAGCUUGUUUCUUCCACUUAAAGUCUCUAAAAAUCUUGCAUCUCGAAGUGGGGGGGGGGGGGGGAGGAAAGUAGACAUUUUUCUCUGUUCCAAUUUGCAUUUGGAAACUAUGAGCCUAGAUGAAAUGAUCAUAUUUAGGAACAAAGGGCCAGGGAGACAUCUAGUGGUUGGACCAAGGGAUUAGAAAUCCAGCUGAUUUGGGUUCCAUUUCUCUUAUGGCUUUUGUUGCAUAUCUGAGAGCAAUUAACUUAUCUCUUUGUCCUCCUUUGUAAAGUGAAAAACCUAGGGAUCUCAGAGGCUAUCUAGUCCAAAACCCUCAUUUUAUGAGGAAAUUGAAGGACAGAGAGGGUAAAUGACCUACCUGCCCGAGAACUCAAAACUAGUAACAUGAGCAGGAUUUAGAACUUGCCUGAGCUUUAGGUUAUUGCAGGACAUUUAUCAGCUCUCAGCCUGGGGUUGUUGGUUCAGCAUGAGAGAUCUGGUGUAAAUAGCCAAGUCUCAUAAUGCUGCUUCAAGCUAUCAAGAUAUUCAAUAAUGUGUAAAUACUUAAUAAAUAUUUUUUAUAUUAGUGAACCUAUACUGGAUUACUGCCUGGUCAUGACAAAGGAAAAUGGCCCAAUGAAACCAUAAGUUCUUCUGUGUGGGUUUAUCCCAAGUGGACAAAUUAUAGUGGAGAGAAUCCCUUAAAAGAAAUGGAGUAGUCUUCAUUGUCAAUAAAAGAAUGAAAAUGCAAACCUGGGAAAUAAUCUCCAAAAAUGACAGAAUGCUAUAUAUUCAAAUCCAAGACAAAGCAUUCAAUCU